CCCUUAGAUGUUCUGGGCCGCACGCGUGCUACACUGAGUGGAUCAGCGGGUCAGGUUGCGCGAAAGCGUUUCCUAAUCUUUAAAUCCGCUCGUGAUGGGGAUUGACGGUUGCAAUUUUCUGUCAUGAACGAGGAAUACCUUGUAAGCGCGGGUCAUCAUCCCGCGCUGAAUACGUCCCUGCCCUUUGUACACACCGCCCGUCGCUCAUACCGAUUGAGUGGUCCGGUGAGGCUUUGGGAUCUGAGCGGAAAGAGCGUUUCGCUGUUUCUGCUCGGAAAACUCAGUCGAACCUUAUCAUUUAGAGGAAGGAGAAGUCGUAACA
Molecule: ribosomal RNA, 322 nt
Filed under: uncultured eukaryote
Lineage: Eukaryota
Description: partial 18S ribosomal RNA
Rfam family: Eukaryotic small subunit ribosomal RNA
Source: RNAcentral